RNAcentral lists this ribosomal RNA (640 nucleotides) under Pseudovibrio sp. RNAcentral describes it as "bacterial SSU rRNA". It matches the Rfam family "Bacterial small subunit ribosomal RNA", at positions 72 to 755 of the family's 1533-position model. The record is from RNAcentral. Lineage: Bacteria; Pseudomonadati; Pseudomonadota; Alphaproteobacteria; Hyphomicrobiales; Stappiaceae.
GAUCCUUCGGGAUUAGUGGCAGACGGGUGAGUAACGCGUGGGAAGCUACCUUGUGGUAGGGAACAACAGUUGGAAACGACUGCUAAUACCCUAUGAGCCCUAUGGGGGAAAGAUUUAUCGCCAUGAGAUGUGCCCGCGUUAGAUUAGCUAGUUGGUAAGGUAAUGGCUUACCAAGGCGACGAUCUAUAGCUGGUCUGAGAGGAUGAUCAGCCACACUGGGACUGAGACACGGCCCAGACUCCUACGGGAGGCAGCAGUGGGGAAUAUUGGACAAUGGGGGCAACCCUGAUCCAGCCAUGCCGCGUGAGUGAUGACGGCCUUAGGGUUGUAAAGCUCUUUCAGCAGUGAAGAUAAUGACAUUAACUGCAGAAGAAGCCCCGGCUAACUUCGUGCCAGCAGCCGCGGUAAUACGAAGGGGGCUAGCGUUGUUCGGAAUCACUGGGCGUAAAGCGUACGUAGGCGGACUGAUCAGUCAGGGGUGAAAUCCCGGGGCUCAACCCCGGAACUGCCUUUGAUACUGUCAGUCUUGAGAUCGAGAGAGGUGAGUGGAACUCCGAGUGUAGAGGUGAAAUUCGUAGAUAUUCGGAAGAACACCAGUGGCGAAGGCGGCUCACUGGCUCGAUACUGACGCUGAGGUACG